RNAcentral lists this ribosomal RNA (249 nucleotides) under Salmonella enterica subsp. enterica serovar Infantis. Its description in RNAcentral is "partial 16S ribosomal RNA". It matches the Rfam family "Bacterial small subunit ribosomal RNA", at positions 1 to 246 of the family's 1533-position model. The record is from RNAcentral. Lineage: Bacteria; Pseudomonadati; Pseudomonadota; Gammaproteobacteria; Enterobacterales; Enterobacteriaceae. RNAcentral also lists the same sequence under 1 other name.
AAAUUGAAGAGUUUGAUCAUGGCUCAGAUUGAACGCUGGCGGUAGGCCUAACACAUGCAAGUCGAACGGUAACAGGAAGCAGCUUGCUGCUUUGCUGACGAGUGGCGGACGGGUGAGUAAUGUCUGGGAAACUGCCUGAUGGAGGGGGAUAACUACUGGAAACGGUGGCUAAUACCGCAUAACGUCGCAAGACCAAAGAGGGGGACCUUCGGGCCUCUUGCCAUCAGAUGUGCCCAGAUGGGAUUAGCU